UGAGGAAUAUUGGUCAAUGGGCGCAAGCCUGAACCAGCCAUGCCGCGUGCAGGAAGACGGUCCUAUGGAUUGUAAACUGCUUUUAUUUGGGAAUAAACCUCUUUACGUGUAGAGAGCUGAAGGUACCAAAUGAAUAAGCACCGGCUAACUCCGUGCCAGCAGCCGCGGUAAUACGGAGGGUGCAAGCGUUAUCCGGAAUCAUUGGGUUUAAAGGGUCCGCAGGCGGGAAGAUAAGUCAGUGGUGAAAUCUCACAGCUCAACUGUGAAACUGCCAUUGAUACUGUCUUUCUUGAAUUCGAUCGAAGUGGGCGGAAUGUGACAUGUAGCGGUGAAAUGCUUAGAUAUGUCACAGAACACCGAUAGCGAAGGCAGCUCACUAGGUCUGGAUUGACGCUCAGGGACGAAAGCGUGGGGAGCAAACA
RNAcentral lists this ribosomal RNA (422 nucleotides) under uncultured Fluviicola sp. RNAcentral's name for it is "bacterial SSU rRNA". It matches the Rfam family "Bacterial small subunit ribosomal RNA", at positions 355 to 774 of the family's 1533-position model. Lineage: Bacteria; Pseudomonadati; Bacteroidota; Flavobacteriia; Flavobacteriales; Crocinitomicaceae. The record is from RNAcentral.